Molecule: ribosomal RNA, 515 nt
Filed under: uncultured bacterium
Lineage: Bacteria
Description: bacterial SSU rRNA
Rfam family: Bacterial small subunit ribosomal RNA
Source: RNAcentral
CUACGUGCCAGCAGCCGCGGUAAUACGGAGGGUGCGAGCGUUAAUCGGAAUAACUGGGCGUAAAGGGCACGCAGGCGGCUAUUUAAGUGAGGUGUGAAAUCCCCGGGCUUAACCUGGGAAUUGCAUUUCAGACUGGGUAACUAGAGUACUUUAGGGAGGGGUAGAAUUCCACGUGUAGCGGUGAAAUGCGUAGAGAUGUGGAGGAGUACCGAAGGCGAAGGCAGCCCCUUGGGAAUGUACUGACGCUCAUGUGCGAAAGCGUGGGGAGCAAACAGGAUUAGAUACCCUGGUAGUCCACGCUGUAAACGCUGUCGAUUUGGGGAUUGGGCUUAAAGCUUGGUGCCCGUAGCUAACGUGAUAAAUCGACCGCCUGGGGAGUACGGCCGCAAGGUUAAAACUCAAAUGAAUUGACGGGGGCCCGCACAAGCGGUGGAGCAUGUGGCUUAAUUCGAUGCAACGCGAAGAACCUUACCUACUCUUGACAUCCAUGGAAUCCAGUAGAGAUACGGGAGUGC